RNAcentral lists this non-coding RNA (23 nucleotides) under Arabidopsis thaliana (thale cress). The record is from RNAcentral. Lineage: Eukaryota; Viridiplantae; Streptophyta; Magnoliopsida; Brassicales; Brassicaceae.
GCUCGAGUGUCUGGUUGAGUGCG